Molecule: ribosomal RNA, 89 nt
Filed under: Nigrospora oryzae
Lineage: Eukaryota; Fungi; Ascomycota; Sordariomycetes; Amphisphaeriales; Apiosporaceae
Description: partial 28S ribosomal RNA
Rfam family: Eukaryotic large subunit ribosomal RNA (bases 33-89)
Source: RNAcentral
CCCCGGCCGUAAAACCCCCAAUUUUUUCUGGUUGACCUCGGAUCAGGUAGGAAUACCCGCUGAACUUAAGCAUAUCAAUAAGCGGAGGA